GGACUACAGGGGUUUCUAAUCCCGUUUGCUCCCCUGGCUUUCGUGUCUCAGUGUCAGCGAACCCCCAGCGAGCUGUUUUCACCGUUGGCGUUCCAAAUGAUAUCUACGCAUUUCACCGCUCCACCAUUUGUUCCGCUCGCCCCUAGGUUGCUCAAGACCAGCAGUAUACCCAGCCGUUCCAUGGUUAAGCCAUGGGAUUUCACAAGGUACUUACCAGUCCACCUACACACGCUUUAAGCCCAGUGAUUCCGCCUAACGCUUGGCACCUCUGUCUUACCGCGGCGGCUGGCAC
This 292-nucleotide ribosomal RNA is filed under the name uncultured bacterium. Its description in RNAcentral is "partial 16S ribosomal RNA". The record is from RNAcentral.